Molecule: long non-coding RNA, 568 nt
Organism: Drosophila serrata
Lineage: Eukaryota; Metazoa; Arthropoda; Insecta; Diptera; Drosophilidae
Source: RefSeq, a predicted model, not a curated record
UUAACUUUCAUCUGAUAAAUAUAUAAAAAUUAUGUAAAAAUGAAGUGCUUAUCAUUUAUACGUUUGAGAAAAUUCUGUUUUCUAAUUCCCUUGGGCAGGGGCUGUGCGAUGAUAUCCCUGAUCCUGCUUCUCUUUGAAGUGAUUGCCCCGCCCUGAUUAACCCGGGCCCUAAGAAAACCGUUGGAUACUACCUAGUCUUGAGCUAUAGGUUCUUGAAUAUAAUUCAUACUUUGAGUUGUAUAAUUCUCUUGAUAUCUUACUUUGUGAGAUAUUCGGGACUUGUAAUGAUCUUUAUGUGGACUUUGAUUUUCAUAUGAUAGUGCUGCCGGUAUUUUGGUUCUUGGAAUUGUAUAUCUGGCACAGAGAAAUCAUAGAUGUAUGGAUUAGCCUUGCUGGGGAAAUCCUAGGCUUAUACUUUUUGCUGGUGGCCUAUUCAUAUUAUCGCGAGUGCAAGGAGGAGCAAUUUCCAAAUAAAAAGCUAAGUGUUAGCUUUGCCCCGGAUAUUUCCUAAAUCAAAUCAAACUUGAAACAAUAAAAUAGUAAAAUACGUCUUAGAAAACCUGGAAUA